Molecule: ribosomal RNA, 555 nt
Filed under: Nassarius crematus
Lineage: Eukaryota; Metazoa; Mollusca; Gastropoda; Neogastropoda; Nassariidae
Description: partial 12S ribosomal RNA
Source: RNAcentral
CGGUUAUACCAAGUGAUUAAGUUAUAUUUUUAGGUAAAAAGACAGUUAGGUUUUAUUUUAUAAAGUAACUUUAGUUUAUUAAACAUCUAUAGAAAAGUAAAAUUUGUAUAUAGAUAGCUGAUCUAAAAAUGACUAAAUAAUACUGAAGCUGUGAUAAUCUUGAGGGAAACUGGGAUUAGAUACCCCAUUAUUCUUGAUUGUAAAUAUAAUUAAAUUUACCAGAGUACUAUGAAUAGUUAAAAAUUUAAAACUCAAAGGGCUUGGCGGUGUUUUAGACCUAUCAGGGGAACCUGUCUCGUAAUCGACAAUCCGCGCAAUAUCUAACCUUACUUUGUAACCAGUUUGUAUACCGUCGUCGUCAGGUAACUUUUAAAAACGUAGAAGUUAGCAAUCAAAAUUUUUUAAAUUAAGACGUCAGAUCAAGGUGCAGCCUAUAGUAAGGAGAGGAUGGGUUACAGUUAUAAAAAUCAUAAUUACGGAAAUUUAAAUGAAACCUAUUUUGAAGGAGGACUUGAAAGUAAACUAAAAUACAUAAAUAGUUUGAAUAAGGCUCUG